Molecule: long non-coding RNA, 692 nt
Organism: Ictalurus punctatus (channel catfish)
Lineage: Eukaryota; Metazoa; Chordata; Actinopteri; Siluriformes; Ictaluridae
Source: Ensembl
CUCUCUCUCUCUCUCUCUCUCUCUCUCUCCUGAUGCUAUGCAGUGCCCUGCUGAGAACCAUUACAGCUUAUAGCCCUGAGGGUGCAGGCCGUCGCGUCAGCAGCAGACACAAUUCAGACCUCAAUUAUCUUCAGAUCCAUCUUUGUCGCUGACAAUUUUAUGUGCACAUCGGUAAUUGUGAAGAAAUUAAUGCAAUGGAGAGCUUGGGGAAAGGACGGGCAGUGCAGAUCAUUUUGAAUUCACCUGCACCUGCAAUAAUUCUCAUUCUACGGAGAAAGUACAGUGGGUCUCUCCCCAUGAGGUACAAGACUACAUACAUUCCUCUGGUUGAAAUGUUGUCAACACCUAAAACCCGAGGUUAUUUGUGGUAGCAAUGUUGCUAAUUGGAGUCCAGUAAAGGAUAAACGAGUGGAUAAAACCCAAGUAAGUACUACUUCUGUUUGAAUCAUGGUGAUAAAAAUACUGUUUAUGCAGUUUUUUCCAUUAAUGUGUGAAUCCAUUUAACAUCUUAAGCUUGAAACAUCAUUUUCCAUUACAGCAAUUAUAGGUUAUGAAAAAUGUACAUUUUAGUGUCCCAUAACAUUCACUCAAUGAUAUUAUCUGCACAUCCACAUGGAAUAUUUGGACAAAAGGUUCAGAAGGAAGUCAUCUGAAUUUCUUGAAGCUCACGAGAAGAAAAAACUUAAAGUAUG